CACCUGGCCCACAGAAAGGUAUAGCUAAACGGCCCUAAACCGUUUCCCAUUCAUUCUCUACGGUAGUGCUAAAUCACUACGGAUGUAAUACAUUUUUGCCCACUACGAACUUGUGGCGCUGUUCCUAGUUUUUUAAAGACGCGCAGUCUGAAAAACCUUUAUCUCAGGCAAACUUAUGUGGUGACGGGACAACUCACCAGGGACUCGCUACAUUUAUUAUUUUAAUGUUCGUUAAUCAAAGGAGCUGUCUAAAGAAGCCAGACGGAUUAAGGACGCCGCCACUUGCAGGACAAGUCUGCGCCUAUGAGGGAGGACCUUGUGCGGCAGAAUGCUCUGGCUAUGGUCCGGAGCUGGCGGAGGUGCUAUGAGACUACAUCCUGCAGUUUGGAAAGUAUAAAGGUGGCUUUUGGUGAAUGAUGUAGGCUACACUACUCUUAUCAAGAAUCUUUGUAAGGAGGAGGCUUUAGGUAUCUGUAUGGCCGAGGGGCAUAGCAAGUACAGCCUACUGUAAUUUGUGAAUUAUGCUCUCAGUUUUGCAGAGAUCCAGUCUCUCUUCUCAACUAGGGCCGGUGGAGUGGGUGUUGUGGCAGCCUCAUCAGAAGACGAGCAGCUGGUUGGCUUUGGCUCUCAGGCCAAGAUAUUGGAUAACAGAGUUGAUGGCUACGCAGACUUCGCCAUGGGGAGGAUACUUGAUGUCUUGCUCCGGAGUCCUGAGGUAUCAUAUUUGGGGGCUCGUGUCCGGGAUUCCAACAACCUCAUCGACUCUCCACGCUGGGCUAAUCAUCAGGACCUCAACCAUACGGAGGAGUCACACAUACAGUAUUUCCCUAACGAAUGUUCUAGUCCCCUGGGCGCAGUCACCUUCCUUAAGUCUGUAAAGGAGAGCUAGUGUCUCUCCCGAAGCCCCAAAGCGCGUUCGGUGGAAGAAGACGAGAAGGCCUCUGAAGGAACGGUAUAAAAGGAAGAGUGGCCUCUGGGCGGGGAAACAUAGCUAGGGAAAAUAUUUCUAUGAGACUGUUUUUCUAAAGACCUCAAACUUGAAUUGGAAGGAGGCCAGGGCCUGCCAGCGAGGAGAGCCGAGAGUGAAGGAAUUGAAUUAGACUAUAGGGGUUGGACUCCGAGCUGUUUGUGAGUAUAUUGUUUGUUUGUUGUGCGUACACGCUAGUAUAGUUUUUCUUGGGGUUGAGACUAAC
Clupea harengus (Atlantic herring) is the source of this 1193-nucleotide long non-coding RNA. Lineage: Eukaryota; Metazoa; Chordata; Actinopteri; Clupeiformes; Clupeidae. The record is from Ensembl.